UAAUCACAAAGUUUAGAGCUUCUUAGAUUCAAGAGUGUGAUUUCUCCUGCUAAAUCUGCAAAKAUGCAGCUGUAAAGCAUUAAUGGAGUACAAAUUUGCACCCAUCAUCAGACCAGGAGUUUCUGUUUCUACUCUGCACUGCGUAAACUGCUAUUUGUUACAUCCAAGUCUGAAGUAACGCUGAGAAGCUUCACAUCUGACUUGACUUGAAAAUGCUUUUAGCUAUUCUGAAAGCAAAAUCUACCAGCCUCCUGAGAUCUGUGUUAGUGUAAACCAAAGGCCRUGGAUGCUGCUGCUGCAAGUGACAGAAACAAAAUAUGUUUCGUUUCUGGUAUGUUUCACUAUAACAACUCCUAAAUUCAGGAGAACUUUGAAGUACUUCAAGAAUUCCUUCCCAUAGUUAUCUCACAACAGAAUCUGAAAAAGAGAAAGACAAAGGAAAUGCUAAGAAUAUUGACAGCAAGAAGGGGAAUGGUGGGAACCUGUGACUCGAGUGAGCAAGGUAUACAGAGUGGAUGUUCGUGCUACAAUAGUGGAAGACGACUACCAGCAGCAUAACUGAUUGUCACUGCUAGGGCUUCACUGUGCUGUAAAAAGAGGUGCUCAAUCUUUUCAAAUGUCAGCAUGUUAAAUUGACAAUAUCCAGCAAUAUGCAAUUAAGGUUUUUGCGAAAUUUCCCCAGCAUGAUUUCAUCUACCAAUGGGGCUCCCUAAUUUUUUAAUGCUCAUCUGUAUUUGAUAAAUCAUGAAAUUCUGAAUUUAGGGGAAAAAAAUUACCAACACCUACCUUUUUCAGCCCAUCUCUAAUAUUCUCAAACACAGCCAGAAAGUAAGAACGUACCUGAAAUCUCUCAGGGAAACUGCUCCUUGAAAAUUCUACAAAAGGAUGCCACAGAGUACACAAAAUUACAAUCUGGCCACAGAUAGGGAAGUGUGUCUACGUAGUGAUCAAAAGCACUGUCACUGUGAC
RNAcentral lists this long non-coding RNA (969 nucleotides) under Dromaius novaehollandiae (emu). RNAcentral describes it as "lncRNA (ENSDNVG00000008884.1)". Lineage: Eukaryota; Metazoa; Chordata; Aves; Casuariiformes; Dromaiidae. The record is from RNAcentral.